CUAAUAUUUAUCAGUUUGAUUCGAUUUAGUUGUCUCUUAGUGAUCAGUUUAGUUCGGUUUCAAAAUUCUUAAUUUUCAAUUUUUGAUUUCAUCGGUUCGAUUUGAAACUAAACUGACCGUUUGCACACUCCUAACGAAAAGCAUGCCUACUUAAUAGUAACGCUUUUCUUUGUGUGGAUAAGGUCUUUUCCGAUACUCCUUCGCUUGUUAAAUAUCAAAAAGAGUAUUGAUAUAGACCAACUUUAUUAUAGUGUGAAGAGAGCUUUGCUGUGUUCACUUUAUAAUUUUCUUCAAUUUUCAUUUCUUCUAUUUGUUUUCUUAUCAAUAUCAAUAGACAAUAGGAGCACAAUUACAAUAGAAUCUCAAAGCAGUUAGAAUUUAUCUAAUAGAUAGAAAUCUCUUCAAAUAAUUAUUUGGACUAACUAUAGUGAAAUCUAGAAGAAAAGUGUUUUCUUUUAUUUAUUAAAAAGUAGUGCUCCAACUUGAGGAUGUUUAAUCUAGAAGCUUUUAGGAUCAUGUGCCACCACUUCUAUUAAAAACAAUUUUUGAUAGUAGAAAUGCAAUUUAUUUCAUUUGAGGCAUUGCAGAGUUUCAAACCUUACAUGCUAUGAAUGGGUAUAAGGACUUUGCAAUUUGACACAUCUUUUAGAACCAUGCAUAAUCUCCAAUUUGAGGCUGAUAGCAAUUGACAACUUCUUGGCAAGUCACCCUACUCAGGCUGCGAAUUUGAGUAUGUUUACUCUGGACAUCUUAGGAUAAGGUGCCACCAUUUCUACUAAAGGCAAGGCACACCCUAUUUCCUUUAAGAUAUUGCAGAGCCUCGCAUCUUAGGUGCUAAAAGCAAGCAUAAGGGCUUUGCAAUGCUCUUUUUUGACACAUCGUUUUAGUGGGGAGGUUUGUCCUUAGAAUACCAAGUCCAUACAUGGUAUUGGAGUUAAAGUUGAUUAUUGGCCCCUUAUUUGACCAAUA
Molecule: unclassified non-coding RNA, 969 nt
Filed under: Hevea brasiliensis (rubber tree)
Lineage: Eukaryota; Viridiplantae; Streptophyta; Magnoliopsida; Malpighiales; Euphorbiaceae
Source: RNAcentral